Molecule: long non-coding RNA, 2987 nt
Organism: Lagenorhynchus albirostris (white-beaked dolphin)
Lineage: Eukaryota; Metazoa; Chordata; Mammalia; Artiodactyla; Delphinidae
Exons: 3
Source: RefSeq, a predicted model, not a curated record
AAAGAAGCCUAGGCUCCACGGAGACGAUCUUGUUAGACGUGUCAAAGGCUUACCUCGUGGGAAAACCUAGGGCCUGGAUGCCCCCAGGAAGGACUGGAGGGACACAGACAAGAAGCAGGUUUCUGCACCUUUCCUUCUGACGUCCCACACCCCUCCCAAUCCCUGCCUACAGUCUGCUUCCAGAGCCCUCGUUCCGGCACGGGGAGCAGGUAAGGGUGCAGAGCCCAGCAGGCUCCACUUCAGCCUUCCCGUGGACCACUGGUGGGCGCGGUAAACCUGUCCUCUGACGUAGGGUCAUAGACACCCUUGGGAUUAGCUCCAUGUUAAGUCAUUUUCCAAACCAGCUCUCUUCUGGGAAAGAAGCUGUAGCCGUCACGGUUCAGGUGUUUGUCAAACAUGUUUCUUCCACUCACCGGUCCUCCUUCGGAGCAGAAUCCUGCUUUUGUUGAGAUUUCUAUCCUCCUCGAUACAUGGUUCAGGGGAGACUCCAGCCACAGCUUGGACCCUGACCCGAGGAGAGAUCCUGAGAGCCGCCUCCCUCCUCCGCCUUCCCCGACCAGUGCGGCCGCCCUCGGAUCCCUUUUGUGCCUUCUCGUCCCGCCUCAGUAUCUUCAGAGUCUUCGCUCGUGUUCAAAACCGGACACUGAUUCAGCUGGCCCGUGGACAAUGGGGCCCGAUUAAGACCCUCUGCAGCUGCGGGAACACAGUCAGGAAGGAGCUGGUCCUGGGCCCCGGGGCUCUGAAGAAGCUCCUCGUCACAGAGCUUCUGGAACAGCCUGCGAGAAAGGCGUGGUCCACACAGCCCCUACUCCGGGAGGAGCCCUGAAGGGCCGUGCGGUGUCCCUUCAGGGUAACGCUGGGGUCACCCAAGGGCCCCCCAGGCCUGCCCGCUGCCCCCUUCAGGCACCACCACAGCCCCGGGGCGGGCCCAUCCUCGGAGCAGGCUGUGUGCGACCAGGAACUUCUGGGCCUGGCCUGUGCCGUCCCGUUGGCCCGCCAUGCCGCCUCCCCCCGCCUCGCCCCUCGAAGCACCGUUCAAAGGCUCCUUUCCCGAAGUGUCCGUGUCCUCUCUGGUUGCAAUUCCAGGGCACGCGGCUGCAGGCUGCUGCUCAGAUACCCAGCCCCGGCUGGGAUCCAGCAGGUGUCUCCAGGACCAUCCUUCCCCCCAACGACUGUGCCACUUGCCUCAGUGGAGGACUUCCAUCUACAGAGUGCCUGUCACUUGCUGGGCGUCACGUAGGUUGUUUUAUAAAAGAAGAGCAUGUUGUUCCCGGGUCUACUUCACGAGGCUGGAAUUGUCACCCCAUUUCACAGACGAGAUUUGCCAAAUAAAGCCAGAGAUAUAGAAUCAGGGAUUAAACUCAAGUCCCGCUCUUGCGGUGACUGUGUUAUUGUCUGUUAACCUUUGGCAUUACCACCGGGUACAGGGCCUUGCACAUAAAUAACUCCCAAUAGACGCGUGAUCCUGGAGUGUUGAGAGAAAGCCAGCUGGGCGUCUCAAGUACUGUAGUCAGUGGCACAACUUUCUGGAGGGGUGUUUACACUUUAAACUGCGGAGGAUUAAGAGAAACAGGUGAAGGACUCUCUGGACUUGGUAGAAAGCGGAGCAGCUUCCCGCCGCGGCUCCUGCCCUCUUUCCUACCAGCUGCUCGGAAGGGACACGGUGAGUAUUUCCCCUUUACCCUCGCAGGAGCCGGGGGGUGGGGGGAGCCCCCGUGGGUCCCCCUGGGACACCUCGCUCUGCUCGUCGUCACCGGUGUAUUCUGGGCUCUCGUCACGCAGGACAAGAAUCUCUGCAGCUCGCACGGCUGUCCAUCCAGCCCUCCGGCCUCAGCACCAAAGGCCACCGCCUAUACAGCUGCUGCGACGCCAGCAAGGACACCUGCCGACUGUCCCCUCCUGUCUACACCCUGCUUCUCUGUGUCGUCUGGUGGCCGGAAGCCAAGAGCCCUCUCCCCACAUCGGUCAGCUCUGGGGUUCCUCCUCCGUCACACCGGGAACGGGCACAGCCCCCGGGUUUGGCCCAAGCACGCCGGCCCCUGCUGAGCCAGGAAACGCCGCCGGGCUCCCCUGAGGGCUCCAGCACCCACCGGUGAGCAUCCCCACCGCGGACGGUCCUCACCGCAUGUAAAUGUCCUCGGAGCUGCUCUGCGGAGAGCAGGGCCCGCCUCUCCAACAUCCCGCGUUCACGCCCUCAUCAGCCACGGCGUCUCUGCGUUCGCCACCAAUUCCACGAGCAGCAAUUCUGGUCUCGUCCACAGACAUUUAGUUAAGGCUCCACAUUCCAGAACUUCUGCUGAGUCACAGCUGGGAGCCUGCCAUACGGGUGUCCGUUCAGUUCUCUCAAUCUGCUUCCCUGAGUUUGGCUUCCCCUGCCCUGGCCAUCUGACCUUGACCUGACUGAUCUCAGAGGCGACGGUGGGAGCCCCGCAGGAGGCGAGGCUUCCGGGGAGGGCAGCAGCUGGGCUUCAGAAGAGCUGCUCGGCCUGCGGGGACAGGUUUCCCUGAAUGCGAGUCUCUGUCCCUCCUGGCACCACCGUGGCGGCCCGGAGGGCAUGCCUGGCCCCAAGGCCCCGCACAGCAGGAGGCAGGACAGGUUGCCGUGAGCAUCCUGGAAGCCCAGUGGCUGGCAUGUGGCCCUGGAGCUCGGCUCCCAGCCCUGCCACUCUCUCACUGGGGACUCCCUUCCGGGUUUGGAGAUCUGUGAGCAAAAUGAGAAAACACAUAAUUCUGUUCUUCUGUCCCUCUUUAUGUAAGUAUUCUUUUUCUUGGGUUCUUUUCUUGGGGGGCAGCAGGGAGCAAACCAAAGUUAAACGGAAAGAGAGCCAAAAGCAGCAACACCCAGGGCUGAAUUGUAGGCCUGAAAAAUACAAAGUUAAAAGUAUGUGCAGCCAUCUCUGUGAUGCUGUGUGAUUUUGAGUAACUUAUUCAACUUCUCUGGACCUAAGACUGCUCAUAAGAUCCAACAGUGCUGUCGUCAGGAAUAU